This 70-nucleotide transfer RNA is filed under the name Ictidomys tridecemlineatus (thirteen-lined ground squirrel). RNAcentral describes it as "Spermophilus tridecemlineatus (thirteen-lined ground squirrel) tRNA". It matches the Rfam family "tRNA". From Rfam's summary of the family: Transfer RNA (tRNA) molecules are approximately 80 nucleotides in length. Their secondary structure includes four short double-helical elements and three loops (D, anti-codon, and T loops). Further hydrogen bonds mediate the characteristic L-shaped molecular structure. tRNAs have two regions of fundamental functional importance: the anti-codon, which is responsible for specific mRNA codon recognition, and the 3' end, to which the tRNAs corresponding amino acid is attached (by aminoacyl-tRNA synthetases). tRNAs cope with the degeneracy of the genetic code in two manners: having more than one tRNA (with a specific anti-codon) for a particular amino acid; and 'wobble' base-pairing, i.e. permitting non-standard base-pairing at the 3rd anti-codon position. Lineage: Eukaryota; Metazoa; Chordata; Mammalia; Rodentia; Sciuridae. The record is from Rfam by way of RNAcentral.
GGGUUUGUAGCUCAGUGGUAGAGUGCUUGCCUCGAAUGCAUGAGGCAUUGGGUUCAAUCCUCAGCACCCA